GUCUGCAACUCGACUGCAUGAAGUCGGAAUUGCUAGUAAUCGCAGAUCAGAAUGCUGCGGUGAAUACGUUCCCGGGCCUUGUACACACCGCCCGUCACACCAUGGGAGUCGGUAACACCCGAAGCCGACAGUCUAACCGCAAGGAGGACGUCGUCGAAGGUGGGAUUGAUGACUGGGGUGAAGUCGUAACAAGGUACC
Molecule: ribosomal RNA, 198 nt
Filed under: uncultured bacterium
Lineage: Bacteria
Description: partial 16S ribosomal RNA
Rfam family: Bacterial small subunit ribosomal RNA
Source: RNAcentral